This 447-nucleotide ribosomal RNA is filed under the name uncultured bacterium. RNAcentral's name for it is "partial 16S ribosomal RNA". It matches the Rfam family "Bacterial small subunit ribosomal RNA", at positions 28 to 523 of the family's 1533-position model. The record is from RNAcentral.
GACGAACGCUGGCGGCAGGCUUAACACAUGCAAGUCGAACGCCCCGCAAGGGGAGUGGCAGACGGGUGAGUAACACGUGGGAACGUACCCUUUGGUUCGGAAUAACUUGGGGAAACUCAAGCUAAUACCGGAUAAGCCCUUAUGGGGAAAGGUUUACUGCCGAAGGAUCGGCCCGCGUCUGAUUAGCUAGUUGGUGAGGUAAUGGCUCACCAAGGCGACGAUCAGUAGCUGGUCUGAAAGGAUGAUCAGCCACACUGGGACUGAGACACGGCCCAGACUGCUACGGGAGGCAGCAGUGGGGAAUAUUGGACAAUGGGGGCAACCCUGAUCCAGCCAUGCCGCGUGAGUGAUGAAGGCCUUAGGGUUGUAAAGCUCUUUUACCCGGGACGAUAAUGACUGUACCGGGAGAAUAAGCCCCGGCUAACUUCGUGCCAGCCGCCGCCGUAA